AUUGAACGCUGGCGGCAGGCCUAACACAUGCAAGUCGAGCGGAUGAAGGGAGCUUGCUCCUGGAUUCAGCGGCGGACGGGUGAGUAAUGCCUAGGAAUCUGCCUGGUAGUGGGGGAUAACGUCCGGAAACGGGCGCUAAUACCGCAUACGUCCUGAGGGAGAGAGUGGGGGAUCUUCGGACCUCACGCUAUCAGAUGAGCCUAGGUCGGAUUAGCUAGUUGGUGGGGUAAAGGCCUACCAAGGCGACGAUCCGUAACUGGUCUGAGAGGAUGAUCAGUCACACUGGAACUGAGACACGGUCCAGACCCCUACGGGAGGCAGCAGUGGGGAAUAUUGGACAAUGGGCGAAAGCCUGAUCCAGCCAUGCCGCGUGUGUGAAGAAGGUCUUCGGAUUGUAAAGCACUUUAAGUUGGGAGGAAGGGCAGUAAGUUAAUACCUUGCUGUUUUGACGUUACCAACAGAAUAAGCACCGGCUAACUUCGUG
RNAcentral lists this ribosomal RNA (484 nucleotides) under uncultured bacterium. Its description in RNAcentral is "partial 16S ribosomal RNA". It matches the Rfam family "Bacterial small subunit ribosomal RNA", at positions 30 to 507 of the family's 1533-position model. The record is from RNAcentral.